GAACUGAAGAGUUUGAUCCUGGCUCAGAUUGAACGCUGGCGGCAUGCCUUACACAUGCAAGUCGAACGGCAGCACGGGUGCUUGCACCUGGUGGCGAGUGGCGAACGGGUGAGUAAUACAUCGGAACAUGUCCUGUAGUGGGGGAUAGCCCGGCGAAAGCCGGAUUAAUACCGCAUACGAUCCACGGAUGAAAGCGGGGGACCUUCGGGCCUCGCGCUAUAGGGUUGGCCGAUGGCUGAUUAGCUAGUUGGUGGGGUAAAGGCCUACCAAGGCGACGAUCAGUAGCUGGUCUGAGAGGACGACCAGCCAC
Molecule: ribosomal RNA, 310 nt
Filed under: Burkholderia multivorans
Lineage: Bacteria; Pseudomonadati; Pseudomonadota; Betaproteobacteria; Burkholderiales; Burkholderiaceae
Also listed under: 2 other names
Description: bacterial SSU rRNA
Rfam family: Bacterial small subunit ribosomal RNA
Source: RNAcentral